UGUCUCAAAGAUUAAGCCAUGCAUGUCUAAGUAUAAGCAAUUAUACAGCGAAACUGCGAAUGGCUCAUUAUAUAAGUUAUCGUUUAUUUGAUAGUACCUUACUACUUGGAUAACCGUGGUAAUUCUAGAGCUAAUACAUGCUAAAAAUCCCGACUCACGAAGGGAUGUAUUUAUUAGAUUAAAAACCAAUGCCCUCUGGGCUCCUUGGUGAUUCAUAAUAACUUGUCGAAUCGCAUGGCCUUGCGCCGGCGAUGGUUCAUUCAAAUUUCUUCCCUAUCAACUUUCGAUGUUUGGGUAUUGGCCAAACAUGGUCGCAACGGGUAACGGAGGGUUAGGGCUCGACCCCGGAGAAGGAGCCUGAGAAACGGCUACUACAUCCAAGGAAGGCAGCAGGCGCGCAAAUUACCCAAUCCCGAUUCGGGGAGGUAGUGACAAUAAAUACUGAUACAGGGCUCUUUUGGGUCUUGUAAUUGGAAUGAGUACAAUUUAAAUCUCUUAACGAGGAACAAUUGGAGGGCAAGUCUGGUGCCAGCAGCCGCGGUAAUUCCAGCUCCAAUAGCGUAUAUUAAAGUUGUUGUGGUUAAAAAGCUCGUAGUUGAACCUUGGGCCCGGCCGAACGGUCCGUCUCACCACGUUGACUGGUCUGGCUGGGCCUUUCCCUCUGUGGAACCCCAUGCCCUUCACUGGGUGUGGCGGGGAAACAGGACUUUUACUUUGAAAAAAUUAGAGUGCUCCAGGCAGGCCUAUGCUCGAAUACAUUAGCAUGGAAUAAUGAAAUAGGACGUGUGGUUCUAUUUUGUUGGUUUCUAGGACCGCCGUAAUGAUUAAUAGGGACAGUCGGGGGCAUCAGUAUUCAAUUGUCAGAGGUGAAAUUCUUGGAUUUAUUGAAGACUAACUACUGCGAAAGCAUUUGCCAAGGAUGUUUUCAUUAAUCAGGAACGAAAGUUAGGGGAUCGAAGACGAUCAGAUACCGUCGUAGUCUUAACCAUAAACUAUGCCGACUAGGGAUCGGACGAUGUUAUUUUUUGACGCGUUCGGCACCUUACGAGAAAUCAAAGUGCUUGGGCUCCAGGGGGAG
Molecule: ribosomal RNA, 1078 nt
Filed under: Cordyceps sp. J422
Lineage: Eukaryota; Fungi; Ascomycota; Sordariomycetes; Hypocreales; Cordycipitaceae
Also listed under: 2 other names
Description: SSU rRNA
Rfam family: Eukaryotic small subunit ribosomal RNA
Source: RNAcentral